GUAGUUGUGGCUGAGUGGCUAAGGCGAUGGACUAAAAAUCCUUUGGGGUCUCCCCAUGCAGGUUCAAAUCCUGUCAACUACA
Non-coding RNA from Gopherus flavomarginatus (Mexican gopher tortoise), 82 nucleotides. The record is from the annotation of a RefSeq genome assembly. Lineage: Eukaryota; Metazoa; Chordata; Testudines; Testudinidae.